Molecule: microRNA precursor, 71 nt
Filed under: Paramuricea clavata
Lineage: Eukaryota; Metazoa; Cnidaria; Anthozoa; Malacalcyonacea; Plexauridae
Source: RNAcentral
UUUGUAUUACGUGCAGAAAUUGUUACCAUUUUCGUCUCAAAAAUGGUAACAAUUUCCGCACGUAAUAUCUA